AAUGAAGGUCAGGAUGUGCUGCGCUGGACUGCGGAAUCUUCUCCAAGGGCUGAGCUUCAGUGCCAAGUACCACUGCAAGCAUAACCCUCCCCAAACAGUGCGUCCGUACAGUAAAGUAGGACCGAAGAAGUGCCACAUCCUGGACUGUUCAAAAAGCACAUGCACGCACAGGACUGCACCACCUGGGAGCGUCCUGCCAUGCAGAUUCUUUUCCUGCCAGCAGGAAGGAACAAAAGUCCCUUCCAAAAGGAAGCAAAAUACAUCCAUAGCAACUUCAGACCUUUUGAAGAAGAACCUUCUAAAAUCAGAGCAAAAAAACUGGAAUAACAUUUCACCAACAUACAAAGCUAUGACAAAGAGAAUCAAAGAAAAACUGGAAGAACUGCACAACAUGUAUACACUCAAUUCAGGAAGCCCAAGGAUGAGGUUUGGAGAGAAUGUGUACUUUGAAGAGCAUGGCUGCAUAUUUCUUGCAAGAGCAGAUGAUGGUGAAGGAAAUGCUGAGAUUUUAUUCAGUGUUGAAGAUCUUGGCUUUUCUGAUGCCUUUAUUCAACGGAUCAGAAUUUCACCAGAUCAGAGAUACAUGGCCAUCAGCUUAAAAAGUGAAAAUUCUGAGGAGGCAACCUGCAUUAUUGUGAAACUUGGUAAUCUUCCUGUUGUGGAAAAAGUAAUUUCAAGUGUAUUUAGCUUUGAAUGGGCUGCAAAUGAUGUUCUGUAUUACACAAUUCAGAAGAACCUUAAAUGCCAGAAUGUAUUCAUGACCACUUUCAUUUACCAGAAACAUACUAAGUUGGUUUAUACAGAACAAGAUGCAAGAUUCUUUGUAGACCUUUAUUGCACAAAAGACAGGCGUUUUCUCACUAUCAACAGCAACAGCAAGACAACCUCAGAAGUUUGGCUGGUUGACUGCAGACAUCCCUUCGAGUCACCUGCCCUUGUACAGGCACGAACCCCGGGGGUCCUUUACCACAUCGAGCACAGAGAGGACCAGUUGUACAUUCUUACCACAUAUGGAGAACCUGCAGAAUAUAAGUUGAUGAAGGCACCAGUAACUUCCAGUGGCAAGGAGAACUGGCAAUUAGUUUAUGCACUGGAAAAGGAAACCAAGCUAGUGGACUUUGAGAUGUUCAAUGAUGACUGUAUUAUGUUCCUGAAGAACGCUGGUCACCUUUAUUUAAAUGUGAUUUCUUUGGUUUCACACUCAGUUCAGACAAUAAAGCUGCCUACGUGGGCCUGUGAAUUUGAAUUGGAAUCUCAUCCUGAACAUACCACCAGCACCUGCUAUUUUCAGCUCUCCUCCCCAGUACACCCCCCUAAGCGUUUUGCAUAUUCAUUUAAAGAAAAUAAUCUCAUUGAACAAGCUGUGCAAGAGGUACCAAUUAUUACGAAUUGUCACACUACACGUUUACUAGCUAAAAGCAAGGAUGAAACUUCGGUGCCAAUUACAGUUUUUCAUAAUAAGAAUUCUAAAGAACUACACAGGAGACCACUUCUAGUUCAUGUAUAUGGAGCUUAUGGCAUAGAUUUGAACAUGAGCUUUAAAGAAGAGAAGCUGAUGUUAAUUGAAGAGGGUUGGAUAUUAGCAUAUUGCCAUGUUAGGGGUGGAGGAGAGCAGGGCCUUGGCUGGCACAGAGAUGGAUGUCAGCAUAAUAAACUCAAAGGUCUCCACGACCUCAGGGCUUGCAUCACGCUGCUGCACCAACUGGGAUUUUCUGAGCCCAAGCACACAGCACUGGCAGCUGCCAGUGCUGGGGGAGUUCUGGCAGGAGCCCUGUGCAACACUGAUCCAGCACUGAUCAGAGCCGUGGUUUUACAGGCUCCUUUCGUAGAUGUUCUAAAUACAAUGAUGAAAACUCAUCUCCCACUGACAAUUGAGGAACAAGAAGAAUGGGGAAAUCCAUUAGAAGAUGAAAAAUGUAUGAAGUAUAUCAAAAGCUAUUGCCCAUACCAGAAUAUUAAGCCACAGUGCUAUCCAUCAGUUUUUAUCACGGCGUAUGAAAAUGAUGAACGGACACCACUAACAGGGAUUUUACAGUAUGUUCAGAAACUCAGGAAGGCUGCACUAGAUCAUGCCAGCAGAAGUAAGAAUGUGAUCACCAGCUUCAUUGUUGCAGGAAAUUGGAUUCCUAAUAUCAUCCUAGAUGUCCAGGCAAGUGGCAGUCAUUGUGAGUCAUCCUGGGAGCACUCAGUGAGUGAGGUUGCAAGACACCUUGCUUUUCUGAACAGAGAACUAGAGGAAGUGUGCCAUCCCCAACAUCACAGCAAAUCCUGCACGUAACUCCUAAACACACUGACCACCUGAAAAACUUUGGGUCAGAUUUGGAUUUGUACGGAAAGCAAACACCUUCUGCAGAGGAUCUCUCCUCUCGGAUCCCUGCUUGAUGGGCACAAGCACACAAAGCUGGGUGUGGCAUUGCCUUACAAAAACACAUACCAAGAACUGGAUUUCUGCCCUGCCAGGCUGUGCAGAAGCAGCUGCCAGCAGACACGAGCUUGUCCAGCAGCUCUGUUCACGUGAGGCAGCAGAGCAGCGCUACACGAGCGGAACUGGAGCACAGCAGUGGGGACCUGGAGCCUCACAGGAGAGUCACAGGCGCUUGGCACGGGCAGCCUUCCUGCCCAAGGCAUCUCUUCCAAGGCCACAUCUCACACAAGGCAGCAGAACUCCUCUGGAGCAUCUGACACUGAAGUCUCACUACUUCCAGAACUAGUGCCCAUGUGCAGAUGUGGCACAUCCACCCCCGGUUCAGGGGCAGCUCCCUGCUCCGCAGCGAGGUCAGCGCUCUGUACAAACCCAGCGUCGAGUUGGAGCGGCUGCUCUGGAUCUGCAACAGUCAGCACCAACAGGGUCAGCUCCUGGCCCUGCACCGAGGGAAUGCAGCUCCCGCUCACUCCCCCUCCUCAGGCUGCUGGGAACGUGCCUGUCAGAAUUCCAGGCUGACAAUUAUCCCUCUGCAAAUCUGUCUGCAGAUUUCACUGGAAAACUGCUUUUUCUCAUGCCCUGCCUUGGCACACGUGCAGUGGCAGACACAGAGUUCAUUAAGCACAACACUUCCCAGCACUAACGCGAUUGCUUCCUCCCACAGCUUCCUUUCAGUACUGUUGAUUCAGGAGAAAGCCACAGUCUUUCAAAGCUUGACACUGAAUCUUUUUCACUGAGUCCAGUCCACUGCAGUCACACAGUUUAUUUCACAUUUUAUAUUUCUGCUAUCUUAGAUAUUUUUUUCUGCCCUCAAUUUUGGUCAGCACUGUAGGUCAGCAAAAUCUGCUUGAUUCGCUGCUCUACUUACGUUAGAGUUGGUCUAUGUCAAGUUCUUGUUAGAAAGCCAGCCCUUUCUAUAGCAAUAGAAAUGGGGGAAAGGAGACCAGUUUUCAAUUUAAUAUCAAAAAGAUUAAAAGGAUGUUAAAGAGCCAAAUUGCCCCAUCAACAUCAUAGUUGUAGUUGCUCUGCUUAAAUGAAUAUAGAUGAAGUAGGCUCCUUGUUGUGCAAGGAUUUCCUUUGCUAAUAAAACUUGUGAGGAUUCA
This is an RNA transcript of Prinia subflava (tawny-flanked prinia), 3525 nucleotides long. It is a transcript of the gene named prolyl endopeptidase like, with no coding region annotated. The transcript has 15 exons. Lineage: Eukaryota; Metazoa; Chordata; Aves; Passeriformes; Cisticolidae. The record is from RefSeq and is a predicted model, not a curated record.